RNAcentral lists this ribosomal RNA (508 nucleotides) under uncultured bacterium. Its description in RNAcentral is "bacterial SSU rRNA". It matches the Rfam family "Bacterial small subunit ribosomal RNA", at positions 28 to 528 of the family's 1533-position model. The record is from RNAcentral.
GACGAACGCUGGCGGCGUGGAUUAGGCAUGCAAGUCGAACGGUAGGAUACCUUCGGGUAUCUGAGAGUGGCGAACGGGUGAGUAACACGUAGGUUAUCUACCCUCAAGACGGGGACAACCCAGGGAAACUUGGGCUAAUACCGGAUGUGAGCAACUUUUAGUUGUUUGAAAGGUGGCGUAAGCUGUCGCUUGGGGAUGAGCCUGCGUCCUAUUAGUUAGUUGGUGAGGUAACGGCUCACCUAGGCAAUGAUAGGUAGGCGGCCUUAACGGGUGGUCGCCCACACUGGGAUUGAGAUACGGCCCAGACUCCUACGGGAGGCAGCAGUCGAGAAUAGUCUACAAUGGUCGGAAGACUGAUAGUGCGACGCCGCGUGAACGAUGAAUCCCUUCGGGGUGUAAAGUUCUUUUAUAUGUGAGCAGUGCUUCUUAUAUUAACAGUAUGGGGAGAGAGAUAUUAGCAUAUGAAUAAGCAACGGCUAACUCCGUGCCAGCAGCCGCGGUAAAACGU